GGAGAUGUAGCUCAGUGACAGAGCUCUUACUUAGCAUAUGUGAGGUCCUGGGUUCAAUCCCCAGUAUCUCUC
This 72-nucleotide transfer RNA is filed under the name Marmota marmota marmota (Alpine marmot). It matches the Rfam family "tRNA". Rfam says of the family: Transfer RNA (tRNA) molecules are approximately 80 nucleotides in length. Their secondary structure includes four short double-helical elements and three loops (D, anti-codon, and T loops). Further hydrogen bonds mediate the characteristic L-shaped molecular structure. tRNAs have two regions of fundamental functional importance: the anti-codon, which is responsible for specific mRNA codon recognition, and the 3' end, to which the tRNAs corresponding amino acid is attached (by aminoacyl-tRNA synthetases). tRNAs cope with the degeneracy of the genetic code in two manners: having more than one tRNA (with a specific anti-codon) for a particular amino acid; and 'wobble' base-pairing, i.e. permitting non-standard base-pairing at the 3rd anti-codon position. RNAcentral also lists the same sequence under 2 other names. Lineage: Eukaryota; Metazoa; Chordata; Mammalia; Rodentia; Sciuridae. The record is from Rfam by way of RNAcentral.